This 1816-nucleotide long non-coding RNA is filed under the name Citrus x clementina. RNAcentral's name for it is "Citrus clementina (C. clementina) long non-coding RNA (CCLE_LNC006730)". Lineage: Eukaryota; Viridiplantae; Streptophyta; Magnoliopsida; Sapindales; Rutaceae. The record is from RNAcentral.
UUUAUGUGGGGUAAAUAUCUAUAGGUGAGUUUUGGGAUAGAUAUGAAAAUUAAAUUAUAAAACAGGGAUAUUUUUGACAUUAGCAAGUAAUUGACUUAAUUCAGAUUUCUCCAUUAAGUAAAAAGCCAAAAAAAUUAGCUUAUUUUAUUAAGUCAAAAUUAUCUAAAAAGUCUCAUUAAGUUAUAAAAACAAACACCUCUAAUUAACUUAAUUAAUUAAGUUAAGUCACUUUAAAUCAUUAAGUUAAAAAACAAACGCCACCUUAGUUUCUCUGGAUGCAACUGUAGGUGCAUCAUGAAAGUUGACACCUAAAAUCAUUAGGCAACUUUUUCUCGCUCCUAAUGGAGGAAAAAAUUAUCUUAUCAUAUAAUAAAAAAUUCUGGAAAAUCUUAUUAUAUAAUAUAUUACUAUAUGUCAAACUUAAUACAAAAUAGAUAUAAAUAUAAAAACUUAUAGAAAUUCAUAACUAGUUUUAAUUGGCAUCAAUGUCUCUACCAUGGUCAAUGAAUAAACCUAAAACAUCCGGAUGUGUGCUCUCACCAGGAUCAACAUAAUUUGUCUCAACGGUCUUCCCUUUUCUUUUUAGGGAUGCUUGAUACCAGUCAACAAAAUGUCUGGUGGAUGAUAAGAUCUCCAAAAAUGGCCUUCUGUCCCACACCUGUCACAUAUCUCUUUCUGUUCUUUUACUUGGGCUUGUCCUUCAUCAUCAUUCUUUCACUUUUGAUAAGUUCUAUUGUAACCAUCACGAGGUUGAUAAUAAUUGUGACUAUAACUAUGAUCACAAUAAAAAAAAAAAAAACUCAUUUUGGAUUAUCACUAAGACUGUGUAAAAUUGGAUUCACUUCAGGUAGUAGCUUCGUAUCAAUUCAAACAAUGGCUUCGUAAGAGCAUAAUCUGUUAUUGAGGUCCAUGGCUUCUAGAUGAAUUACUGAGGCACAUAGCUUUUAGUUGAAUUACUGACACAUGGCUUCUAGCUGAAUUACCAAGGCAGAAUCCAAGAUAAAUUAUUUUUAUCAAAAAUAUUGAGGGCUUUCAAUUCAGGCUUCAUUGGAUUUGCCAUCUUCAAUUAUUCUUUAAAGGCUUCAAAAUCUCAAUAUAUGGCUUCAGUACGUGCAAGAAUGUUCAAAUUUAUGGCUUCAUAUGAACGAGUUUUAAUAUUAAAGCUUUAAGGCUUCAAUCUGAAUAUUGUACGCUUCAAUUUUGAUUCUGCACGCUUCAGUCUUGAUUUACGCUUUAGUCUCGUAUGCUUUGGUCUUUAAUUUUAAUAUCAGUAACAGAAAAUAAACAAAAAUACUAAUUAGCAAAUGAAAUAAUAAAAUGAGAAAAUAUAAUACUUCCUGUAAUAUAACGAUCUAGUGUUGAUAACGUGUUGUAAUAUUGUUGGGUACAAGGAGCAUUGAAGGAAGAACAAUUAACUAAAGCGGAAGAGAACAAAGUGAAAUUUGCCAAGUAGCACCAUGCAAUCUCACGAAUUUAUUUUUCAAAUCGAAAUCAUGAGAACGGGUUACAAAUGGGCUAUUUAUAGCCGGAUCAAGCGGUGUGCACUUGAGUCCAUAGAUGUAUGUGAUUACAAGAUCAAGCGGUGUGUGCAAGCAAAGUGAGGCGUAUCUGAUUGGCGUUUGUGCGCAUACAAAUCAAUCCCAUGCGAUAUGCAUGCGGUGGAAAUCCACAUAGCUUUCACAACAAGAGCAAUAUUUGCUUAAAUUUUGGAAGUCAUUGGUCAAGAGUCCUGCUAAGUGUUCGUAAUAAAUCAUGGUUGGCCUAAUGACAGGAUAUAGAAAAAUGAUUUAUUGGGGGUUAAAUUAAAUAAUAACAA